GACAGAGGUGGCAAGCGUUGUUCGGAUUUAUUGGGUGUAAAGGGCAGGUAGGUGGUUAUGUAGGUUUGGUGUGAAAUCCCAGGGCUCAACCCUGGAACUGCACUGAAAACUGCAUGACUUGAGUACUGGAGAGGUGAGGGGAAUUCUCGGUGUAAGGGUGAAAUCUGUAGAUAUCGAGAGGAACACCAGUGGCGAAGGCGCCUCACUGGCCGGUUACUGACACUGAAACUGCGAAAGCAAGGGGAGC
Molecule: ribosomal RNA, 247 nt
Filed under: uncultured bacterium
Lineage: Bacteria
Description: partial 16S ribosomal RNA
Rfam family: Bacterial small subunit ribosomal RNA
Source: RNAcentral